Molecule: transfer RNA, 63 nt
Filed under: Sakuraeolis japonica
Lineage: Eukaryota; Metazoa; Mollusca; Gastropoda; Nudibranchia; Glaucidae
Description: tRNA-Arg
Source: RNAcentral
UAUCUGAAAGCGAAAAUCGCACUAAGUUUCGGCCUUAGCUUUGAGUAUUAAUCUCUCAGAUGA